AGUGAACGCUGGCGGUAGGCCUAACACAUGCAAGUCGAACGGCAGCACAGUAAGAGCUUGCUCUUACGGGUGGCGAGUGGCGGACGGGUGAGGAAUACAUCGGAAUCUACUUUUUCGUGGGGGAUAACGUAGGGAAACUUACGCUAAUACCGCAUACGACCUGCGGGUGAAAGCAGGGGAUCUUCGGACCUUGCGCGAUUGAAUGAGCCGAUGUCGGAUUAGCUAGUUGGCGGGGUAAAGGCCCACCAAGGCGACGAUCCGUAGCUGGUCUGAGAGGAUGAUCAGCCACACUGUAACUGCGACACGGUCCAGACUCCUACGGGAGGCAGCAGUGGGGAAUAUUGGACAAUGGGCGCAAGACUGAUCCAGCCAUCCCGCGUGGGUGAAGAAGGCCUUCGGGUUGUAAAGCCCUUUUGUUGGGAAAGAAAAGCAGCAGGUUAAUACCCCGCUGUUCUGACGGUACCCAAAGAAUAAGCACCGGCUAACUUCGUG
RNAcentral lists this ribosomal RNA (492 nucleotides) under uncultured bacterium. RNAcentral's name for it is "partial 16S ribosomal RNA". It matches the Rfam family "Bacterial small subunit ribosomal RNA", at positions 29 to 507 of the family's 1533-position model. The record is from RNAcentral.